This 355-nucleotide long non-coding RNA is filed under the name Diabrotica virgifera virgifera (western corn rootworm). RNAcentral's name for it is "uncharacterized LOC126879869". The record is from RNAcentral. Lineage: Eukaryota; Metazoa; Arthropoda; Insecta; Coleoptera; Chrysomelidae.
AUGCUUUUUAGGUAUAAUGAUGGACGACUCUGAAAUAAAGGAGCUUAUUAUUCUAACUGGGAAAUAUGCCACAAUUUAAAGCUGGGACAGAAUGAUAUAAUAUAUAGCUUCAGAACAAUAUUAAGAAAGGAGUUAUUAACCAACUGCGGGACCUUCCAGAACUUCAUACAUUGAAUUGCUGAUAUACAAAGUGCUAUUAACAAAAGAAGGAAAAUUUGAGGAAGUUGGAUUUGCCUCUCCAUCCUUUUAUUGUUGUGUAGAAGCCAGUGGUUUAAGAGUGGAGAAAAUAUUUGUAUGUAAUAAUAACGUUUUAUAUCUUGUUUUAUUAAUAAAUAAUGAUUUUACCUUAACACAA